This 73-nucleotide transfer RNA is filed under the name Danio rerio (zebrafish). It matches the Rfam family "tRNA". From Rfam's summary of the family: Transfer RNA (tRNA) molecules are approximately 80 nucleotides in length. Lineage: Eukaryota; Metazoa; Chordata; Actinopteri; Cypriniformes; Danionidae. The record is from Rfam by way of RNAcentral.
GCCUGGCUAGCUCAGUCGGUAGAGCAUGAGACUCUUAAUGUCAGGGUUGUGGGUUUGAGCCCCACUUUGGUCG